AGGACGAACGCUGGCGGCGUGCUUAACACAUGCAAGUGGAGCGACGAACCAGGGCUUGCCCUGGGGCAGAGCCGCGAACGGGUGAGUAACACGUGGGUUACCUGCCUUGAUGACCGGGACAACCCGAGGAAACUCGGGCUAAUACCGGAUGUGCCCGCAAGGGGAAAGGAAGCUUCGGCCUCCGCAUCAAGAUGGGCCCGCGGCCCAUUAGCUAGUUGGUGAGGUAACGGCUCACCAAGGCUUCGAUGGGUAGCUGGUCUGAGAGGACGAUCAGCCACACUGGGACUGAGACACGGCCCAGACUCCUACGGGAGGCAGCAGUGGGGAAUCUUGCGCAAUGCGCGAAAGCGUGACGCAGCAACGCCGCGUGGGGGAAGAAGGCUUUCGGGUUGUAAACCCUUUCAGUUGGGACGAAGCUUCUCCGGUGAAUAGCCGGACGGAGUGACGGUACCUUCACAAGAAGCACCGGCUAACUACGUGCCAGCAGCCGC
Molecule: ribosomal RNA, 491 nt
Filed under: uncultured bacterium
Lineage: Bacteria
Description: SSU rRNA
Rfam family: Bacterial small subunit ribosomal RNA
Source: RNAcentral